Ictalurus punctatus (channel catfish) is the source of this 5037-nucleotide long non-coding RNA. The record is from Ensembl. NCBI's taxonomy places the organism in Eukaryota, Metazoa, Chordata, Actinopteri, Siluriformes, Ictaluridae.
CUGCUUUCCUAUCUGUUUACCUGUUGUCUGAACGUCUUUCUGUCUGUCUCCCUGUCUGUCUGUCUGUCUCCGUGUCUGUCUCUCUAUCUGGUUUCCUGUCUGGCUUUGUGCCUGGCUUCCUGUCUGUCUGACUCACUGUCUGUCUGUCAUUCUGUUUGUCUCCCUGUCUGUCUCCCUGUCUGUCUCCCUACCUGGCUUCCUGUCUGUCUCUCUGUCUUCCUGUCUGUCUGACUCACUGUCUGUCCGCCUUCCUAUCUGUUUACCUGUUGUCUGUCUUCCUGAAUGUCUUUCUGUCUGUCUCCCUGUCUGUCUGUCUGUCUCCGUGUCUGUCUCUCUACCUGGUUUCCUGUCUGGCUUUGUGCCUGGCUUCCUGUCUGUCUCUCUGUCUUCCUGUCUGUCUGACUCACUGUCUGUCUGCCUUCCUGUCUGUUUACUUGUCUGUCUGUCUCCCUGUCUCUCUCCCUAACUGUGUGUCUGUCUCCCUGUCUGCCUAUCUGUCUCCCUGUGUCUCUCUCUCUGUCUGUCCAUCUCCCUCCCUUCCUGUCUGUCUGUCUGUGUAACUGCUGCUGCUGUCUCUGUAUCUGUCUGCCUGUCUGUCUCACUGUCUUUCUGUAUAACAUCGUCUAUUUUUGUAUCUAAUGAAAAACAACAGUUCUUUAAGAGUUCCUUAACUUUCUACAAAUGUUUCUUUCGCUUUUUCAUGAUAUAUUCAGAAUUCCUAUCUCAUAAUUUAAGUCAGUAUGACUCACUAACUGCGGCUUAAGCGCCUCAAAUUCAUUCCCUGGUUAAAAACGACACAGAGUAAUCAGAGAAAGAGAGCGAGACGACCAUCUGACACGCUCUUAGAGCAGUACGCCUCCGAGUACACUACCACUGCUUCCAGUUUCAUUUCAAAAUAAAAACCUGAUAACUAGGUUAAAGUGUGAGUGUGUUAUGUAAAGAAUAAACGACUCAGUGUCGUGGAAAAGAAUCAAAUGAUGAAGAGGAGUCACUGUUACUACACUGAUUACUUUCCUACAGCAGUUGUAACAGUGUCGUAUUUAUCAAAGACUGACACGUCAUGCUUUUCAUCUGUUUAUAGUGACAGUACUGGUGUAGUUCAUAUCCUCCCUUACGUUAUAGCAGCUAUAAAUGCUCCUCUCUCACCAGCCCUCUCUUUUUUCCUCUCUCUUAAAGUUAUAAGACAAAAACAAGCAGUUUGUCACUCCUCUGUCCUGAAGUACCUCGAAAAACUUAAACUUACAGCUUUACCUCUGACUGAUGCAAACCACUGACGCUGGAGACAUUAAAAACAUGCUUUUUAAUCCGUUUAUGUGGCGCGCACGCUUCACAAGUCUGUGCUGUUACUAUAGAAACAAUGAAGUAUUCGAAUAAAUAAUAUGAAGCUGUGAUUUGCAGCUGCGCUACUGUCCGAGCUGCUGUUCGGAAAGAUAAGUUGCUGCGUGCGCGCGUGUGUGUGUGUGUGUGUGUGGUCUCGGAUGUAUAGGGUGUGUUCGGGGUGUGUGUGUGACUCUGUGUCAUGCGCUGCCAGCUGAAUAAUGAAGUGGAGCUCACACAGCGUGCUGGAGGAGAUAAGAGAGAUUCACUUCUCUCAGAUUUGGCAGACGAGUGUCCACUGAGACAGAUAAAAAAUUAACCACUCGCUCACACACAGCGCCUAAUUCAGGAUUUCGGGGGAAGAGAUGAUUCUGAGUGCGCACCAAACACACACACACACACAGGCUUCCCUCUCUCCAUUUCUAUUUCUUACGGUGAGAAUGGGAGCGAUGAUGUAAAAGGUGUGAGAUGUACCUAAUAGUGAGGGGAAUUCCAGCUCUUUAUUAGCGAGUCGGUGAAUUAUUUGACUCAUAAAUAAGAGUCGACUCUUUCGCCUCCCAAACCACUUUUUUUUUUUUAAAUAAAAGUUGUUAGACUGAAUCAGUGAAUCAGCUGCGUGUCAUCAAAUGUGCACUGACAUCAACAAACUUUAAUUGUCCCUGCUGCACUGUUUGUGCUUAAUUAAGAAGAUUUAAGGUCCUAGGUCUAGGUCCUACCUGUGACUAGGUCUAGGUCCUACCUGUGACUAGGUCUAGAUCAGACCUGUGACUAGGUCUAGAUCCUACCUGUGACUAGGUCUAGGUCCUACCUGUGACUAGGUCUAGGUCCUACCUGUGACUAGGUCUAGAUCCUACCUGUGACUAGGUCUAGAUCCUACCUGUGACUAGUUCUAGAUCCUACCUGUGACUAGGUCUAGGUCCUACCUGUGACUAGGUCUAGAUCCUACCUGUGACUAGUUCCUGUUAACAGUUUGACGAACCGUGGUUUUAUCUUAUCCUCUCACUGCUACUUCCUUCCAAGUUGUUUUGGUCUUCAUAAUGUCUCCGAACACACGUAUACUUUUAUACACAUGUAAUGAGAGGUCGUACAUCAGUCGAGUGAGCGACCUCUCAUUACAUGUGUAUAAAAGCAUUACGUGCGUUCAGAGACGUUAUGAAGAACGAAAUAGCUUGGAAGGAAGUAGCAGUGAGCGCACGUAGCUAAUACAGUUAGCUUGCUUUGCUAAUCUUAUCUGAGAACAAAGCUAGUACGAAGCCGAGCAUGCGACAUGUAACACAAAUAUAUGUGUAUAAAUAGUACAGCAGAGUGCAGGAUGUAGAUUUUCACUACUGUUUCUGGACAGGCCACGCCCACAAUCAACAACAGUAACGCUGCUACACACACACACACACACACUCAUUUAAUAUGACAUUAUAAUCUCCUGAAAAUUAUGAUCAGAGUCAGCGUUAUGAUCAGGGUCGAACCGUUUCAGUCGGAGGGAACCGUACCGGAAAAGCUUUUGUUGUGCAACUGUACUGGACACAACACACACUCACACACACACACACACAAGCAGUUGAAGAGCUGCUCACACCUCAAUACAACAACUCUAAAUAUACACCAUAUGUUUACAGCCUGCGCUUCUCUUCCACUCUGAGUCACUACAGGAACAGGAUCAUGAGCGCAAAACUCUGAUAUAGAAACCCUGUACGUCCUGCCCUGCUGGAAAAUACUACAGAAACCCUGAUAGAAUUUGUAAUGGUUUUAAUGGUUAUAAUGGGAAUUGUAUUGGUUGUAAUGGAAACUGUAAUACUCCCUGUGAGUCUCUACUGGUAAUUUGUUGCCUUCUAUUGGUCUAGUAAAUACCAUUAAGGACCACUAAUGGUAAUGGUUUAAUGGUUAGCUGAUGGAUUGUAAUGGUAUUUGUACUGGAAACCAUUAGAAUUUCUGUGAUGGUUUCUACUGGGGUUUUUUUUUUCCAGCUGGGAAGUUUCCAACCGCCUGCUUGAGGAGCACGAUGUAUUUCUCAUAUUAUCAUUAAACAUGAACAUUUUGGCCAAAACGAGAUUUUGUAAGUGACGCCAUGUUUAAAGCGCUGAUAAUCCUGAUAAGUUUGAACAUCUUUAAUAUCGAUUACUUCUGUUUUAUAAGAGUCAAAAAGCGGUUUUAGUGAAAUGGGGCUUUGUGUGAAGGGUUUAUGCUAUGCAUCAUGAUAUUUAGGUAUGCAAACCAAAGUGGCAGAGAAAAAAAAGACAUUAAAAUAGUGACAGUUUUUAAACAUUUGCACAGUAAAGAGAGAGAGAAAGAGAGAGAAAGAGACAGAAUGACUCAUCUAGUACACCAGAAUAUUUUUAAUGUUCGAUCUUACAAACAUUACUGCUCACAGUGACUAAACAUAACUAUAAAAGGGUAAUAAAGUACGGCUGAUAAAAAGCCACACUGACAAUAUUAAAGCAGCGGUGUGUAAAGUUUAAGCGCCCUCUUGCUGCCUGGAACUGCGACUGCAAUUAGAUAACAGACCCCCCUUCACUUCACUUUCCCCCUCCCACCGCCGUUAUUAAAGCUAUUUGAAGGGGUGGAGCUAGGCAUGUGGACAGAGCAUAUUUCAGGGCUGGAAAACUGUAAAAAGGCCAAAAUGAUUUUUUAUUUUUAUUUUAAUUGGCCUGAUCCAGAUUCAGGGAAUUACAUCACAGCAAACAGCUUCCCAGGUAUUUAUAAUGAUACACAAUAGAAUUGUGGGAUUGACUCCACAGACCUGUUCAUUCAUUUAAUUAUGUAUUUAUUUAAUUUUCAGGAAAAAAAAUAUUCGUGGCCACAGUCACUGUUUAUGGUCUGCACUCAUAUAGUGCUUUUUUAACCUUAGCAGCUCCAAAGCGCUUUACACUGUGUCUCACUCACCCAUUCACACACACACACACUCACACACCAAUGGGAGCAGAGCUGUGAGGCGCUAACUUGCCAUCGGGAGCAACUUGGGGUUCAGUGUCUCGCCCAAGGACACUUCGGUAUGUGGAGUCACGUGGGCCGGGAAUCGAACCUCCAACAAUGCGAUUAGUGGGCAACCCGCUCUACCACCUGAUCCACAACCGUACAUUUAUUUAUUAUAUAUUUAUUUAGUUAUUUAUUUAUUUGUUUGUUCGUUUUAUGCAUGUAACCCUGUUCCCUGAAAAGGGAAUGAGACGUUGCAUGAGCUCAACAAUGUGGGAAGUGCCCUCACGCGUGACCGGCAUCUGAAGUUUGUGUAACAUCAUGCCUAUUUACAGGCCUGCCAUGAUCAGGUGACAUUGCAAUUAAGCGCGUCGCGUGAUGUAAAAACGGAACCUGUGAACCGCGCCAUCAGCCUCCAUUAUCUGAAGCGAAGACGCAGUACACAGACAUGCUCCAGUAUGACAAAGCUAUGCAAUGUCUCGUCCCCUUCUAGGGAACAGGGUUACAUGCAUAACUCAGACGUUGCCUUUCAAAGGGAACUCACCGUUGCGUGAGCUUCACACUGUGGGAACGAGAACACCCACUCCAUCAUACUAAGGGUAUGGCCUGUUCCCAAAAGAUCUGAGCCCAAGGGUCACUGCAAGACACUCGAGCCCAGGGUGGAAUGUAUAUCCAGGCUGUAAUAUCAAAUGAAUGUGUGCGGCAUAGACCACCCCGCUGCAGCACACACACCCUGUAAGGGUACCCUUUUGGACAAAACCUUCGAGGAGGCGGAACCCCUAGUGCUCCAGCUUAUGCCACUGGCCAGAGCGG